UGACAUAAAACCAAAUAGCACUAAUUGAUUGGACGCCACGUAAAGUCAGAGGAUGGUCGGUUAGAUUAAAGAAGGCAAAGAUAGAAUACAUAUAUCACAUGAUAUCCAUAGAAAACGUUAUUUUAUGCUAGUAUGUAAGGUUAAGAUCAAGGAGUAUUGGUGACUACAUGUAAAAAAAUGAUUCUUGUAGAGUUGAUUUUUGAGGUAUAUAAUCGUUGGUAUAUAAUGCAUUUAUUUCGACCCUGAUUCAAUUAAUCGCCGAUUAUCUAGUGAUUUUAAAUGUGGAUGAUCGGUGUACAUUACACUUGUUGCAGAUGUGAUGCAAAACUAAAGCUCGUGAAAAACUAUAAAUGCAAAAAGAGCAGCAAAAGUCGCAAACACCACAAAGUUUAAAUCUUCUGCAUCUUGAUUAUUAUGGCGACCCUUUCACCCGAGAUCGCUUAAAGCGAUUAUAAUAUUGUAAUUGUAAAUCAUAAAACAAUAAAAUUCUAAAAAAUAUUACAUUUUUUAAUAAAUAUAUUCUCUGUGAAAAAGCUAUUUCACAUAGAAAUAUAAACCUUCAGUCGGCUUAAAUACUCUAACAUAAAUACUCUCGUUCCACGCACUGUAAAGGUCUGAGGUAAAUAAAAUGAUAUAUAAGUAUACUUUAACAAAAAUUGGGUGUAUCAUGUUCUUUUAGUUUUUAAAUUAGAAUAUAUAAAUGGCAUAACGGAAUAGAAGAAUAUAUGUAUACAUAUUUAUUUCAAAUGUCCAGUACCUAGCUCUUCUAGUUGCUGUGAUCGAAAAGUUAACGAAGAAGAACAUACAUAUAUGAUUUAUAAUUAAGUCAUGAAAUUUGUAGUGGACCUAUAUAAUAAAAUAAAAUUACCCUAACAUGCCAGAAUCGUUA
Drosophila virilis is the source of this 889-nucleotide non-coding RNA. The record is from RefSeq and is a predicted model, not a curated record. NCBI's taxonomy places the organism in Eukaryota, Metazoa, Arthropoda, Insecta, Diptera, Drosophilidae.